UACGUAGGGGGCAAGCGUUAUCCGGAUUUACUGGGUGUAAAGGGAGCGUAGACGGUGCAGCAAGUCUGAUGUGAAAGGUCGGGGCCCAACCCCCGGACUGCUCUGGGAACUGUCUGGCUAGAGUGCAGGAGAGGUAAGCGGAAUUCCUAGUGUAGCGGUGAAAUGCGUAGAUAUUAGGAGGAACACCAGUGGCGAAGGCGGCUUACUGGACUGUAACUGACGUUGAGGCUCGAAAGCGUGGGGAGCAAACAGG
RNAcentral lists this ribosomal RNA (253 nucleotides) under uncultured Eubacteriales bacterium. Its description in RNAcentral is "uncultured Clostridiales bacterium partial 16S ribosomal RNA". It matches the Rfam family "Bacterial small subunit ribosomal RNA", at positions 524 to 776 of the family's 1533-position model. Lineage: Bacteria; Bacillati; Bacillota; Clostridia; Eubacteriales. The record is from RNAcentral.